This 207-nucleotide long non-coding RNA is filed under the name Panax ginseng (ginseng). RNAcentral's name for it is "long non-coding RNA (PGIN_LNC018481)". Lineage: Eukaryota; Viridiplantae; Streptophyta; Magnoliopsida; Apiales; Araliaceae. The record is from RNAcentral.
GGCAAGAGAGUGAGAAUAAAAGAAAUUAUCAAAAUUCUGCAGGCGGUAUUAUUUAAUCAUUUUCCCACUGCGGUUAGUAUAAUGAAGAAAGAGAAGUACAAACAACAAGAGAAUCGCCCAAAAAGAAAGAUUAGAAGAAAAGGGUAUCACUAAAAAGAUGUGAAGAAAGUAGAAGCCAACAAAAUUGUUGGGACAUGAGCUUUGCGG